Molecule: non-coding RNA, 1082 nt
Organism: Pelobates cultripes (western spadefoot toad)
Lineage: Eukaryota; Metazoa; Chordata; Amphibia; Anura; Pelobatidae
Source: the annotation of a GenBank genome assembly
CUGCAGGAGAUGCAGUCUCCACGGAGAGCAGGGCAGCAGGUUCACCUCCUAUCUCCCAGGAAAUGCACCUGGCUUCACUUUCCUCUCGUAAGUACUUGCAUAGCAUUGUUAGAUAAAUGUUAUGUGUGUGUGUGUGUGUGUGUGUGUGUGCGUGCACAUUUAAACACACACACGUAUGUGAUUUUACUGUAUAUGAAGUUAAUUUAUCACAUACAUGUAUUUCAGACCAUCCGCAACUAGUCUACGUUCCUUCACCACGUACGAGUGUGGUUUCCCUCCAACAGCCGGCCACUGGUGUCCAGGAACAGGGAUCCACUGCUGAGCGUAAGUAAAAAAUGCUUUAUCUAUACACAUUUUCUUUGCAGGCAUACUAGUUUAUGUAACAGGCAGGGCCGGGUCGACCGCUAAGUAUACUAAGCGUCUGCCUAGCACACACUGGCCAGGGGGCUCAAUGUCUGGGUGACCAGCAGGGGUGAGCUCACAUCGCUACUCUCCUUCUGUUCACUUUAUGUACUGUGGCUGAGUGGACCACGUGUGAUCUUAUCUACCAUCUACUUGGCCUGACAGGAAGCUGAGUGCAACGAUCAGCUUCCUUUCAUGCAGAAGAAACAGGAGAUUCUCUACCUGGGGACACUCUGUCACGAUACAUGUAGUGAGAUUAGAAGGAAAGGGAGGUGGGCACAAAAACAUGCAUUGAGAGGUCACAAAGACAGAGAAAGGGCUAGGGGGGACAAAGAUGCAUAACUAUACUUCGACAUAAUAAAUUAAUAGCAUGACUGCAUAUAUCUUAUUUCCAAGUUUAAAUAAUAUUGUUGUACAGAUAAUAGUAAGCAUUGCAACAUAUGACACAUGCUAACAAUGUUCUUUCUCUGUUCUCCCCUAUAGGUUCUGAUGGUACUCUCCCCCUGCAAGAGGAUCCUGAUUCAGUGACAUCAGUGGCCGAAGAAAUGCAGUUGCUACAACUUCCUCCACCGUUGGCUGCGCUGUAUGCGACGAUCCAGGCUCGUCAAGCUGAACUGGAGACGUCCAUACAGCAGGAUAAGGAGAAUCAGCGAGAACUAUUGCAGAAUGUAAUAACCAAG